GAUCAUGGCUCAGGAUGAACGCUAGCUACAGGCUUAACACAUGCAAGUCGAGGGGCAGCAUGGUCUUAGCUUGCUAAGGCCGAUGGCGACCGGCGCACGGGUGAGUAACACGUAUCUAACCUGCCGUCUACUCUUGGACAGCCUUCUGAAGGGAAGAUUAAUACAAGAUGGCAUCAUGAGUUCACAUGUUCACAUGAUUAAAGGUAUUCCGGUAGACGAUGGGGA
RNAcentral lists this ribosomal RNA (225 nucleotides) under uncultured bacterium. RNAcentral's name for it is "partial 16S ribosomal RNA". It matches the Rfam family "Bacterial small subunit ribosomal RNA", at positions 15 to 231 of the family's 1533-position model. The record is from RNAcentral.